This 467-nucleotide ribosomal RNA is filed under the name uncultured bacterium. RNAcentral's name for it is "partial 16S ribosomal RNA". It matches the Rfam family "Bacterial small subunit ribosomal RNA", at positions 28 to 506 of the family's 1533-position model. The record is from RNAcentral.
GACGAACGCUGGCGGCGUGCUUAACACAUGCGAGUCGAACGGAAAGGCCCUGCUUUUGUGGGGUGCUCGAGUGGCGAACGGGCGAGUAACACGUGAGUAACCUGCCCUUGACUUUGGGAUAACUUCAGGAAGCUGGGGCUAAUACCGGAUAGGAGCUCCUGCUGCAUGGUGGGGGUUGGAAAGUUUCGGCGGUUGGGGAUGGACUCGCGGCUUAUCAGCUUGUUGGUGGGGUAGUGGCUUACCAAGGCUUUGACGGGUAGCCGGCCUGAGAGGGUGACCGGCCACAUUGGGACUGGGAUACGGCCCGGACUCCUACGGGAGGCAGCAGUGGGGAAUAUUGCACAAUGGGCGGAAGCCUGAUGCAGCAACGCCGCGUGCGGGAUGACGGCCUUCGGGUUGUAAACCGCUUUCGCCUGUGACGAAGCGUGAGUGACGGUAAUGGGUAAAGAAGCACCGGCUAACUACGU